UACAGAGGGUGCGAGCGUUGUUCGGAAUUAUUGGGCGUAAAGGGCGCGUAGGCGGUGCCACAAGUCACCUGUGAAAUCUCCUGGCUCAACUGGGAGCUUGCAGGCGAAACUGUGGUGCUGGAGUGUGGGAGAGGUGCGUGGAAUUCCUGGUGUAGCGGUGAAAUGCGUAGAUAUCAGGAGGAACACCUGUGGCGAAAGCGGCGCACUGGACCACAACUGACGCUGAUGCGCGAAAGCUAGGGGAGCAAACAGG
RNAcentral lists this ribosomal RNA (253 nucleotides) under uncultured bacterium. RNAcentral describes it as "partial 16S ribosomal RNA". It matches the Rfam family "Bacterial small subunit ribosomal RNA", at positions 524 to 776 of the family's 1533-position model. The record is from RNAcentral.